RNAcentral lists this ribosomal RNA (375 nucleotides) under unidentified archaeon. RNAcentral's name for it is "bacterial SSU rRNA". It matches the Rfam family "Archaeal small subunit ribosomal RNA", at positions 90 to 467 of the family's 1478-position model. The record is from RNAcentral.
UCAGUAACACGUAGUCAACAUGCCCAGAGGACGUGGAUAACCUCGGGAAACUGAGGAUAAACCGCGAUAGGUCAUGAUUUCUGGAAUGGUUUAUGGCUGAAAUCUAUAUGGCCUCUGGAUUGGACUGCGGCCGAUCAGGCUGUUGGUGAGGUAAUGGCCCACCAAACCUGUAACCGGUACGGGCUCUGAGAGGAGGAGCCCGGAGAUGGGCACUGAGACAAGGGCCCAGGCCCUAUGGGGCGCAGCAGGCGCGAAAUCUCUGCAAUAGGCGAAAGCUUGACAGGGUUACUCUGAGUGAUUCCCGCUAAGGGGAUCUUUUGGCACCUCUAAAAAUGGUGCAGAAUAAGGGGUGGGCAAGUCUGGUGCCAGCAGCCG